Oncorhynchus tshawytscha (Chinook salmon) is the source of this 1266-nucleotide long non-coding RNA. RefSeq lists it as uncharacterized. NCBI's taxonomy places the organism in Eukaryota, Metazoa, Chordata, Actinopteri, Salmoniformes, Salmonidae. The record is from RefSeq and is a predicted model, not a curated record. The transcript is spliced from 2 exons.
UCACUGAGUGCAAAGCGCUAGAUCACUGAGUGCAAAGCGCUAGAUCACUGAGUGCAGAGCGCUAGAUCACUGAGUGCAGAGCGCUAGAUCACUGAGUGCAGAGCGCUAGAUCACUGAGUGCAAAGCGCUAGAUCACUGAGUGCAAAGCGCUAGGACACCAUAUAGAGAAUAAUGUGCCAUUUGGGACAGCACCUCUGAGGAAGGUCGGAAGGUGUGCUACACCUCUAGUCUACCAGACUGUUGAGAUUUAUGGGCUUUGUUUCAGAUGGCACCCUAUUCCCCUUUAUAGUGCACUACUUUUGGCCAGGACCCACAGGGAGCAGAAGACCUUUCCCUUGAGAGUGCGUGUAGUGUCCCAAAUGACAUCUUGGACCCUAUAUAGUGUAAUACUUUUGAUCACGGCUCAUAUGGAUCUGGUCAAAAGUAGCGCACUAUAUAGGGAAUACGGUGCCAUUUGGGACGGAACCUUCUAACCACGCACCACUUUCUAGCACUUAUAGUCAUUUACAGUUAUGUGUGGUGACUAAUCAUUUAAAUAGUAACUUACAUACAUGUAGUUACUUAUCCUAUGGUAACUAAUCAUUUAAAUAGUAACUUAUACACAUGUGGUUACUUAUACUAUGGUAACUUUUAGCAACAUUUACUACGUACACACGGCCUUCGAAUCAGCCGCCAUGAGUCAAACGCACAAAUACAAAGUCCUGCUGGACCCUUCAUUUCUGAAGCCAUAUGAUCACAGAGAAGAACAUGUGUGAGUAGGACUACUCUUAUCCUAGAUCAACUCCAUUCUAUCUGUAAAGGAGUAGAGUUUCAGCCAAGUGUUCUGGAACCGACCUGAUAAGUGAAGAUUUAAUAUAUAGGUUCCUUCAUUAUUAUGGUUGAAAAAUUCUGGGAACUUCUCAGUUUAUCCAGGAAUGUUCCUGUAAUCAGUAGGGGGGAAAGCAGAGCAUCCUGAAUCCCCAACAAUGACCUGUUGGAAAGACUUGGCAUUUUGGGGGGGAAGUUAGGGGACUAACCAACUGCCACCCAGAACGGCACCCUAUAGAACCUAUUAGGUAGAAACUACCACCCAGAACGGCACCCUAUAGAACCUAUAGGUAGAAACUGCCACCCAGAACGGCACCCUAUACAACCUAUAGGUAGAAACUGCCACCCAGAACGGCACCCUAUAGAACCUAUAGGUAGAAACUGCCACCCAGAACGGCACCCUAUAGAACCUAUAGGUAGAAACUGCCACCCAGAACGGCACCCUAUAGAACCUAUAGG